CAGAUACAGUUAGGACCUAAAGCUGAGGCUACACCAGAUACAGUUAGGACCUAAAGCUGAGGCUACACUAACACCAGAUACAGUUAGGACCUAAAGCUGAGGCUACACUAACACCAGAUACAGUUAGGCCCUAAAGCUGAGGCUACACCAGAUACAGUUAGGACCUAAAGCUGAGGCUACACCAGAUACAGUUAGGACCUAAAGCUGAGGCUACACCAGAUACAGUUAGGACCUAAAGCUGAGGCUACACUAACACCAGAUACAGGUAGGACCUAAAGCUGAGGCUACACCAGAUACAGUUAGGACCUAAAGCUGAGGCUACACUAACACCAGAUACAGUUAGGCCCUAAAGCUGACACCAUGUUCCUUCAGAAAAGCCAAACUGUUAACUGGUACUGUAUUUCAUCACUCACAAUCUUGCCAAAGCAUAUUCUGUAAAAGGGGUUAAUAUGAAUGUAAAGUAAUUUGACGUGAUUUAUAUGAAUCAGGUGAUGAACAUAUGGACAUUAAAAUGAAUAAGGGAGAGGUUAAACGUAGGCUAAGUCUUCCCACACAUUACAAUAACUCUGUUGCAGUGGUCAUAGGUAUUGCAGUGGUCUUAGGUAUUUUCCGUAUAGGCUCUUCCCUCCGUCUCUCCACUGCUGCCCAGUUGAAGAGCUUGUGAUCUCCAUGCAGCACCACAACACCAUGUUCCUUCAGAAAAGCCCCCCUCAGCCUCAGAAGAUGCCCUUCUGGAUGCAUGCAGCCAUACAGUUGUUAUACCCUAAUGUAGGACUAUAUGCCUUCUAGCCAAAUGGAGUGCAGAACAUGCAUAAUGCUUUCAACUCAUCACUCCAACAGAUCAUUUAAUUCAUCCUUCAUUCAGUUCAGUCAUCCAUUCAGUCAUCCUUCAUUCAGUUCAGUCAUCCAUUCAGUCAUCCUUCAUUCAGUUCAGUCAUCCAUUCAGUCAUCCUUCAUUCAGUUCAGUCAUCCAUUCAGUCAUCCGUCUGAGUUGCCAUAGGAACUAAAUCAGAGAGAAUAGAACACUCAUCCAUUCAGUCAUCCAUUCAGUCAUCCAUUCAGUCAUCCUUCAUUCAGUUCAGUCAUCCAUUCAGUCAUCCGUCUGAGUUGCCAUAGGAACUAAAUCAGAGAGAAUAGAACACUCAUCCAUUCAGUCAUCCAUUCAGUCAUCCGUCUGAGUUGCCAUAGGAACUAAAUCAGAGAGAAUAGAACACUCAUCCAUUUGUUUAUUGAAAUCCAUGUGUGAAUUCAAAAUGAUCUACAAUUUCCAAAGUUCUUUAGCCUAUCACUUUAAUAAUUCAAUAUUUAAUUUAGGCCUAAAUUGUGUGUUGGUGCUUGAAAAAACAAGGUAAAAUAGUGAUGCCAGUGAUUUUGAAGUUUGGAGCUUUAGAUCCCGGAGGUUUUGACUUCUGUGGUGGAUGACCGUUCAAAAUUAUUUUUCCCAGUCGGAGCUUGUUUUCCCAAAUUCCCAGUUGUCAUAAACACACUGUCAACACUAGUCACUUUACUAAUGCCACUUUAGAGACUGAAAAACAACUUCUAUCUCAAGGCCAUCAGACUGUUAAAUAGCCAUCACUAGCACAUUAGAGGCUGCUGCCUAUAUACAUAAACUGGAAAUCACUGGUCACUUUAGUAAUGUUUACAUAUUUUGCAUUACUCGUCUCAUAUGUAUAUACUGUAUUCUAUACUAUCUACUGUAUCUUAUUCUAUGCCGCUGUGACAUUGCUCAUCCAUAUAUUUAUACCUUCUAAUUCCAUUCCUUUACUUAGAUUUGUGUGUAUUAGGUUUUUGUUGUGGAAUUGUUAGAUAUUACCUGUUAGAUAUUGCUGCACUGUCGGAGCUAGAAGCACAAGCAUUUCGUUACGCUCGCAAUAACAUCUGCUAAACCAUGUGACCAAUAACAUUUGAUUUGAUGUCUAACGGUUCCGAGUUCCCAGUUGUCUUGAACGCAGUGUGUGUGUGUGUGUGUGUGUGUGUGUGUGUGUCAGUGAUGUCACUACGCAGAGGACGCCUCUUCCUGAUCGUCACUCUGUCCAUUCAUAUCAACCAGAGAGGAAGAGGACGAGAGGCCAACUCGGCGGAAAAUCUGUCUCGCUCAACAACCAAGCAAGGACUUUUUGUAUAGAGGUCAAUGAGAGUGUCGAAUUUGGUCAACAAUAAAACAAUUAUUCGC
RNAcentral lists this long non-coding RNA (2173 nucleotides) under Salmo salar (Atlantic salmon). RNAcentral's name for it is "lncRNA (ENSSSAG00000092765.1, ENSSSAG00000118076.1)". The record is from RNAcentral. Lineage: Eukaryota; Metazoa; Chordata; Actinopteri; Salmoniformes; Salmonidae.